UAGGGAAUCUUCGGCAAUGGGGGGAACCCUGACCGAGCAACGCCGCGUGAGUGAAGAAGGUUUUCGGAUCGUAAAGCUCUGUUGUUAAGGAAGAACGAGUGUGAGAAUGGAAAGUUCAUACUGUGACGGUACUUAACCAGAAAGGGACGGCUAACUACGUGCCAGCAGCCGCGGUAAUACGUAGGUCCCGAGCGUUGUCCGGAUUUAUUGGGCGUAAAGCGAGCGCAUGCGGUUAGUUAAGUCUGAAGUUAAAGGCAGUGGCUCAACCAUUGUAUGCUUUGGAAACUGUUUAACUUGAGUGCAGAAGAGGAGAGUGGAAUUCCAUGUGUAGCGGUGAAAUACGUAGAUAUAAGGAGGAAGACCGGUGGCGAAGGCGGCUCUCUGGUCUGUAACUGACGCUGAGGCUCGAGAGCGUGGGGAGCGAACAGG
This 429-nucleotide ribosomal RNA is filed under the name Bacteroidota bacterium. Its description in RNAcentral is "Bacteroidetes bacterium partial 16S ribosomal RNA". It matches the Rfam family "Bacterial small subunit ribosomal RNA", at positions 355 to 776 of the family's 1533-position model. The record is from RNAcentral. Lineage: Bacteria; Pseudomonadati; Bacteroidota.